Molecule: long non-coding RNA, 4024 nt
Organism: Aedes albopictus (Asian tiger mosquito)
Lineage: Eukaryota; Metazoa; Arthropoda; Insecta; Diptera; Culicidae
Exons: 2
Source: RefSeq, a predicted model, not a curated record
UAACUUUUUCCACAAGCAUCCAAUUGUUUUGCGAUCUUCGAAAGAAAGUUUCAUAAAUGAUUUUUUUACAAGAAGCGUUGAUCGAUUUGAAUUGAGGAGACAAGGGGCGACCUCUGGGAUUUUUUGUUUGAAAGUGUAACUUUUCCCAUAGUAAAUCCUAUGUAAACUUUGAACCGCUUGCGCUAAAUUAUAGUUUCACCGAUUGCGCUGAAAUUUUGUACAUUUUAUAUAGGACCUAAAUGGGAUCUAAAAAGUCGACUGGAGCGAGGAUUUAUUUUUUCCAUACAAGCGUGUCCCAUACUAAUGUCCCAACUAACAAUUGCAAGUCACAAACAAGCAAGCUUACUGAAUUGUUGCUUAAUAAUGGUAAUGAUAGCUGAACUAAAAUUAUGCUCUACACAUUACUGUUUAAAUGAUUUUUCAAUUGAGAAAGUAGUCAAUGUUCGACUUUCCUCGUCGGUAUCAACUAUGAUAAAUUAAAACACUUUUCAAACGUUUAACAAGAAAUUUAUUCGGCAAGCAUUGAUUCCUUAACAAAAGAGUUUAACAAAGCAUUUGUCUGCAUCUUAUUAAGCUGAUGUAUCGAUAAGCAUAUGCUCCUGAACAAUGUGCUUUUCACUUGUCAAAUAAACGCCUUCAGCCCGUCAUAGUUUGACUAGGAACUUUGUUCGGAUUAUGGGAUAAAUCAUGGCUAAAACUGUUUAGACAACCAAGUUAUUAAAGAACUAAUAUUUUAAACGAAUCACAUAAAAUAAAACAGAAUAGAAUUAUGUAGCUUAACAUUGAGUGCCAAAAGACGUAAUCAACGUAAAAAUGAGGCAUGUAACAAGAUAUCUUGUACACUCAUUGCACAAUUAUGGGUCACUCAAGGAGCAAUCACUUCAUAAUAUGAAUCGUUUUUCAUACAAAAAUAACACUUUCAUUAUUUUUAUUUUAUAUUCUCUUCAUUGAAACUCCUUUUUGUUGUUUUAUAUAAAAAUCUGCUUGUAAAAUUCACUUUAGGUGGUGAAAAUUACUGAAAUGUUGAUGAAUAAUGAAAACCACAAUUAUGAGUCAAAAUUGGCUGUGUAACAAUUAUGGGUCAAUUUGUUGCCUAUUAUGGGUCACUCAAGAGUAAUCGGCUGAACAAUAAUGUUUUGUCUAUUUUUUCAAUGAAUGGUCACUUAUUCUAGAUAGAUCAACUAUAGUAGAAUCUAAAACUGGUCUCAAACCUCUUAACGAAGCGUGUUUUCAUGAUUUGUAAUCAUUUUUUCAAUAUUGGGACAGAAUCUCCAACACAACCACUGAUAAACGCCUAAAAGUAUGCAAUACCCAUGUACGGAGAACUGUCAAUAUUAUGCUGCACAAAAAGUGACCCAUAAUUGUGUGAUUUUCGGUGUUCCUUGUCACAAUAAUGAGUCAUUUAAAUUUUGCAUGAAAUAAGCUUUAAUUAGCUACAGUCACAUGAUUUUUUACAUUUAGAACGUAAAUUAUACUUUUGUUCUGGUGACGAUACCAUUUCGCACUUGAAAAUCACUAAAGCUCGCCUUUACAGAGCUUACGAAAGCAGCGCACGCACUUUCUGAUGUUCACAAUCGAAGCGUUACUUUGACAGAUGGUUUUAUGCUGAACAAAAAAUUACUGAAAAUAUGUAUGUUUUGACGUAUAAGCCCGUGUGCGAUACCUAUAGUGACACAAAACAAAUCAACUCAUCAACGAAAAAUGAUAAUGGCUAACAAAAGCUUGCAAUUAAUUAGUAUUUAUCUAUUAAAGUGAAAAGUGACUAAUAAUUGUGUGUGACCCAUAAUUGUGCAAUGACUGUACCUUGAUUAUUAUAUUUUUUAUCUUCCGCAGCAGUUCGAUUGUAGGAGACACUUGGAUCGAUGCAUUUGACAUUGCAGUGCUGUCGUGUUUACUGAAUAUUGUUCCCGCAGUCACCUAGAUAACCAAACAGCAUUCAGAAAUCGACACAUUUCAAGUAUCCCUAAACAUCCAUAUGCACUAUUUAUUGAACAUAACAUCAAGAUUCCAUGACAAGAGCAUAAAUAAAAAAAUGCUUAACGGAUCUUCGACUGAGCAUGAGAAGAUAACCUGAACAGAUGCUCUGAAUGCACCAUGUCCAAGACCAUACCGCACCACAUAUUGCCAUACAUUUUUAAAGAUCGAUAUUUAAUAAUAAAAUCGCAAUUAGUACAUCUGGAAACAAUAUCUUCAAUAAGGACCAACACUUUUUGGCCGCAUUCGAUACAAGUUUUCUCACCGUGCGAUAAAAAUACUGACAGCGAAAUCAGAAUGGAAAACACGUGUUUUGGGUUGAACAGUUGUUGAAGUAUAUGGCGUUGUUCAGUUGAUUACCACUUGCUGUGGUAAUUCACCACUGCUGAACACAAGUUCAGGAGUGACCAUUAUUGAGUCAUGGGAAGAUUAUGUUUUGCUUUGGGUGCUACAUCUCACCAUCUCUAGGAUGGCGCAGAUAGGAAGGCAUGCGGCUGGCAAUCGACAGGUCUCGAGUUCUAAUCCGGAUUUAGUCAUUUUUGCCAAAGCUGAAUAACAACUUUCCUGUACAUUUGUAAAACGUUUUGAAGAACAAAAAAUUAAGUUGGUGCACAACAUGAUGCUUUAUAACUUCUCCAAAUUUGUGUGAACAAAACCCGAACAUAGGUUGUACGUGAAAAUAAUUCAAAUGUUAUUCAACAUUAUGUUGAAUUAAUUCGUCAUAAUGGUGUUUGUUAAAUAAGUGAUUGUUAGCUGGGGUGCAUUAGUAUGGGACAAACGACUCGUGCAAGAAAAGAAUCGGGUGUAAAAGGAACAACACUGCCGCUUACCAUGAAGCACAUUUUGUAUUAACAUUAUUUUGUUGUAUAUUGCCAUAUUUGCUGGAUUUCCUAUGCAAAUGGUUGAUUGAUUGAUUUGUCUUUAUUAAAGAGACUUUCAGCCCUUGGCUGGUUCGUCUCUCAGUAUGCAAGUGGGGUGUGGUAUAUCCAGUAUUCCUGACAACACUUGCCAUGCCAUGCUGCUGCGAUAAGCAUUCGAUGGAGUUGAAUGUUUAUGAACUGAGCGAGUUUCGUCGUGUCAGCAUUGCAUGUGCGGUAGUAUGGGACACGCUUGUAUGGAAAAAAUAAAUCCUCGCUCCAGUCGACUUUUUAGAUCCCAUUUAGGUCCCAGAUGAACUGUACAAAAUUUCAGCGCAAUCGGUGAAACUAUAAUUUAGCGCAAGCGGUUCAAAGUUUUCAUACGAUUUACUAUGAGAAAAGUUACACUUUCAAACAAAAAAUCCCAGAGGUCACCCUUUGUCCCCUUAAUUCAAAUCGAUCAACGCUUCUUGUAGAAAAAUCAUGUAUGAAACUUUCCUUCGAAGACCGCAAAACGAUUGGAUGCUUGUGGAAAAAGUUAUUGAUUUAUUACCAAUUAGUGAUCUAACGAACGGCUUCUUGUUUUGUUUUAUCAGCAGCACUGCUGCUGCCGUUGUUGCAUGGGGUGGCGGGAGGCAUCACCACCCCCAGAAACAGCAGCAGCCAAGGCAGCAGCUACAGUGCUGCUAAUAAAACAAAACAAAAAGCCGUUCGUAAGAUCACUAGUCGGUAAUAAAUCAAUAACUUUUUCCACAAGCAUCCAAUUGUUUUGCGGUCUUCGAAGGAAAGUUUCAUAAAUGAUUUUUCUACAAGAAGCAUUGAUCGAUUUGAAUUAAGGAGACAAGGGGCGACCUCUGGGAUUUUUUGUUUGAAAGUGUAACUUUUCCCAUAGUAAAUUGUAUGAAAUCUUUGAACCGCUUGCGCUAAAUUAUAGUUUCACCGAUUGCGCUGAAAUUUUGCACAGUUAAUAUGAGACCUAAAUGGAAUCAAAAAAGUCGACUGGAGCAAGAAUUUGAUGUUUGUCCCAUACUAAUGUGCGGUGCGGUCCCACGGUCUGGACUGACCGCAGUUCUAAGACACAUCGAUCGUAUGAUCGUCCAAGCCCCUCCCCAAUCCAACUUUGUAUGUGUUAGUAAUUAAGUAGGUCUAAGAAAUAUCAUGAAUAAAGCACAAGCCAUUAUGGUCAGAACCAA